RNAcentral lists this long non-coding RNA (307 nucleotides) under Brachypodium distachyon (stiff brome). RNAcentral describes it as "long non-coding RNA (BDIS_LNC003794)". The record is from RNAcentral. Lineage: Eukaryota; Viridiplantae; Streptophyta; Magnoliopsida; Poales; Poaceae.
GUUCGAGCCUAGUUAGGAGUUUGGGUAGACAAGUGUCUACAACCUAUGUGAUUUUUUUCUUUUGUAAAUCUACACUUCCUUUAUGGCCCAUCUCAAUUGUACAACACGCCGGUUCACAUGGCACCACGUCUUUGCAGUAAGCUUGAACCAGCCCAGCCCAGCCCAUUUUUUGUUUAUUUUUCGAAGGAGGAUCAUACACUCCAUUCUGGUAAGCCCAAAUCUAGAGGUCAAUCUUGGGCUGAUAUGCCAGCCCAAUCGGCUCACGUAGUACGACAAUAAUUGGGCCGUCAUUUAGCCUGUGAAAAGA